AAGUAGUCUGAUAUGCCCGUUUUGGAUUUACUCUAAUGUAUGUUUAACUAUUAUUUAAUUGCUUUUGGGUAACGGGGUGUUACAAUUGCU
This is a microRNA precursor of Medicago truncatula (barrel medic), 90 nucleotides long. It matches the Rfam family "MIR2617 microRNA precursor family". The record is from Rfam. Lineage: Eukaryota; Viridiplantae; Streptophyta; Magnoliopsida; Fabales; Fabaceae.